Molecule: ribosomal RNA, 395 nt
Filed under: uncultured bacterium
Lineage: Bacteria
Description: bacterial SSU rRNA
Rfam family: Bacterial small subunit ribosomal RNA
Source: RNAcentral
CGAACGGGUGAGUAACGCGUGAGAAACCUGCCUUUCAGUGGGGGACAACAGUUGGAAACGACUGCUAAUACCGCAUAAUGUUAUUUAGGGGCAUCCCUGAAUAACCAAAGCUUUAUGUGCUGAAAGAUGGGCUCGCGUCUGAUUAGAUAGUUGGUGGGGGUAACGGCCUACCAAGUCGACGAUCAGUAGCCGGACUGAGAGGUUGAACGGCCACAUUGGGACUGAGAUACGGCCCAGACUCCUACGGGAGGCAGCAGUGGGGAAUAUUGGGCAAUGGGCGAAAGCCUGACCCAGCAACGCCGCGUGAAGGAAGAAGGCCUUCGGGUUGUAAACUUCUUUUAGCAGGGACGAAGGACGUGACGGUACCUGCAGAAAAAGCAACGGCUAACUACGUG